RNAcentral lists this ribosomal RNA (805 nucleotides) under uncultured Leuconostoc sp. RNAcentral describes it as "bacterial SSU rRNA". It matches the Rfam family "Bacterial small subunit ribosomal RNA", at positions 28 to 814 of the family's 1533-position model. Lineage: Bacteria; Bacillati; Bacillota; Bacilli; Lactobacillales; Lactobacillaceae. The record is from RNAcentral.
GAUGAACGCUGGCGGCGUGCCUAAUACAUGCAAGUCGAACGCACAGCGAAAGGUGCUUGCACCUUUCAAGUGAGUGGCGAACGGGUGAGUAACACGUGGAUAACCUACCUCAAGGUUGGGGAUAACAUUUGGAAACAGAUGCUAAUACCGAAUAAAACUUAGUAUCGCAUGAUACCAGGUUAAAAGGCGCUACGGCGUCACCUAGAGAUGGAUCCGCGGUGCAUUAGUUAGUUGGUGGGGUAAAGGCUUACCAAGACAAUGAUGCAUAGCCGAGUUGAGAGACUGAUCGGCCACAUUGGGACUGAGACACGGCCCAAACUCCUACGGGAGGCUGCAGUAGGGAAUCUUCCACAAUGGGCGAAAGCCUGAUGGAGCAACGCCGCGUGUGUGAUGAAGGCUUUCGGGUCGUAAAGCACUGUUGUAUGGGAAGAACAGCUAGAGUAGGGAAUGACUUUAGUUUGACGGUACCAUACCAGAAAGGGACGGCUAAAUACGUGCCAGCAGCCGCGGUAAUACGUAUGUCCCGAGCGUUAUCCGGAUUUAUUGGGCGUAAAGCGAGCGCAGACGGUUAAUUAAGUCUGAUGUGAAAGCCCGGAGCUCAACUCCGGAAAGGCAUUGGAAACUGGUUAACUUGAGUGCAGUAGAGGUAAGUGGAACUCCAUGUGUAGCGGUGGAAUGCGUAGAUAUAUGGAAGAACACCAGCGGCGAAGGCGGCUUACUGGACUGUAACUGACGUUGAGGCUCGAAAGUGUGGGUAGCAAACAGGAUUAGAUACCCUGGUAGUCCACACCCGUAAACGAUGAAC